UACGGAGGGUGCAAGCGUUAUCCGGAUUUACUGGGUUUAAAGGGAGCGCAGGCGGAUUAGUAAGUCAGUGGUGAAAGCCUUGAGCUUAACUCGAGAACUGCCAUUGAUACUAUUAGUCUUGAAUGUUGUUGAGGUUUGCGGAAUGGGUCAUGUAGCGGUGAAAUGCAUAGAUAUGACAUAGAACACCAAUUGCGAAGGCAGCUGGCUACACAAAUAUUGACACUGAGGCACGAAAGCGUGGGGAGCAAACAGG
Molecule: ribosomal RNA, 253 nt
Filed under: uncultured bacterium
Lineage: Bacteria
Description: partial 16S ribosomal RNA
Rfam family: Bacterial small subunit ribosomal RNA
Source: RNAcentral